ACACGUAUGAAAGACAAGCUGAAAGACUUUUCUCAAUGAUGUAAGUGGUGGUGCAUGGUCGUUCUUAGUUCGUGGAUUGAUUUGUCUGGUCUAUUCCGAUAACGAGCGAGACCCCGACGUUCCUAAUAGGGGUGGCAGCCCGGCUCGUCCGCUUCGGUGGACUUGCUAGCAGCCGCCUAAUUAGCUUCUUAGACGUAUCAGAGCCGAUAAGGUUCUUGAAAUGGGUUAAUAACAGGUCAGUCAUGCCCUUAGAUGUUCUGGGCCGCACGCGCGUUACAAUGGUAUACAUUAGAACGUGCUCUCAAGGGCGUUUCCGCGGCCGACGGGUCGCGGUAACCCCUAAUCUCUCCCUUGACUGGGACAGACUAUUGCAAUUAUUGGUCUCCAACGAGGAAUUUUUAGUAGUCGCAGGUCAUUAACCUGCGACG
RNAcentral lists this ribosomal RNA (428 nucleotides) under Didymium squamulosum. Its description in RNAcentral is "SSU rRNA". It matches the Rfam family "Eukaryotic small subunit ribosomal RNA", at positions 1230 to 1643 of the family's 1831-position model. Lineage: Eukaryota; Evosea; Eumycetozoa; Physariida; Didymiaceae. The record is from RNAcentral.